CUUCUGGAUGAGUUGCGAACGGGGGAGUAACGCGUAGGUGACCUGCCUGGUAGCGGGGGGAUAACUAUUGGAAACGAUAGCUAAUACCGCAUAACAGUAGAUAUCGCAUGAUAUUUGCUUGAAAGGUGCAAUUGCGCCACUACCAGAUGGACCUGCGUUGUAUUAGCUAGUUGGUGAGGUAACGGCUCACCAAGGCGACGAUACAUAGCCGACCUGAGAGGGUGAUCGGCCACACUGGGACUGAGACACGGCCCACACUCCUACGGGAGGCAGCAGUAGGGAAUCUUCGGCAAUGGACGGAAGUCUGACCGAGCAACGCCGCGUGAGUGAAGAAGGUUUUCGGAUCGUAAAGCUCUGUUGUAAGAGAAGAACGAGUGUGAGAGUGGAAAGUUCACACUGUGACGGUAUCUUACCAGAAAGGGACGGCUAACUACGUGCCAGCAGCCGCGGUAAUACGUAGGUCCCGAGCGUUGUCCGGAUUUAUUGGGCGUAAAGCGAGCGCAGGCGGUUAGAUAAGUCUGAAGUUAAAGGCUGUGGCUUAACCAUAGUACGCUUUGGAAACUGUUUAACUUGAGUGCGAGAGGGGAGAGUGGAAUUCCAUGUGUAGCGGUGAAAUGCGUAGAUAUAUGGAGGAACACCGGUGGCGAAAGCGGCUCUCUGGCUUGUAACUGACGCUGAGGCUCGAAAGCGUGGGGAGCAAACAGGAUUAGAUACCCUGGUAGUCCACGCCGUAAACGAUGAGUGCUAGGUGUUAGACCCUUUCCGGGGUUUAGUGCCGUAGCUAACGCAUUAAGCACUCCGCCUGGGGAGUACGACCGCAAGGUUGAAACUCAAAGGAAUUGACGG
RNAcentral lists this ribosomal RNA (846 nucleotides) under Streptococcus infantis. RNAcentral's name for it is "bacterial SSU rRNA". It matches the Rfam family "Bacterial small subunit ribosomal RNA", at positions 84 to 916 of the family's 1533-position model. Lineage: Bacteria; Bacillati; Bacillota; Bacilli; Lactobacillales; Streptococcaceae. The record is from RNAcentral.